Molecule: ribosomal RNA, 256 nt
Filed under: uncultured bacterium
Lineage: Bacteria
Description: partial 16S ribosomal RNA
Rfam family: Bacterial small subunit ribosomal RNA
Source: RNAcentral
GACGUAGGUGGCGAACGUUAUCCGGAAUUAUUGGGCGUAAAGGGUGCGUAGGCGGCAUAAUAAGUUAUUGGCGGGAAAUCGAGGCUCAACCUCGUGGAAACUGAUAAUACUGUUUUGCUUGAGUACAGGAGAGGUUAACGGAACUCCAUGUGGAGCGGUAAAACGUGUAGAUAUAUGGAAGAACAUCAAUAACGGCGAAGGCAGUUAACUAUUCUGUUACUGACGUUGAGGCACGAAAGCGUGGGGAGCAAAAAGG